AAAACCCUUUUUAAUUCAAAACUUUCAACAACGGAUCUCUUGGUUCUGGCAUCGAUGAAGAACGCAGCAAAAUGCGAUAAGUAAUGUGAAUUGCAGAAUUCAGUGAAUCAUCGAAUCUUUGAACGCACAUUGCGCCCGCCAGUAUUCUGGCGGGCAUGCCUGUUCGAGCGUCAUUUCAACCCUCAAGCACAGCUUGGUGUUGGGACUCGCGUUAAUUCGCGUUCCUCAAAUUGAUUGGCGGUCACGUCGAGCUUCCAUAGCGUAGUAGUAAAACCCUCGUUACUGGUAAUCGUCGCGGCCACGCCGUUAAACCCCAACUUCUGAAUGUUGACCUCGGAUCAGGUAGGAAUACCCGCUGAACUUAAGCAUAUCAAUAAGCGGAGGAAGU
RNAcentral lists this ribosomal RNA (388 nucleotides) under Fusarium sp. osu_besc_815a. RNAcentral describes it as "eukaryotic LSU rRNA". The stretch from base 20 to 173 matches the Rfam family "5.8S ribosomal RNA". Lineage: Eukaryota; Fungi; Ascomycota; Sordariomycetes; Hypocreales; Nectriaceae. The record is from RNAcentral.